AUUUCAUAAGGAGAAUUGUUGUGAAGAAUUCUGGAUGGAAUCCUAUUAAGCAAGUAGGUGGCAGUCAAUAAACAGUCCCCCCAAAAAUGAAUAGGUAAUUUGGAUUGAAAAAGUAAAGCUCUACAUGCUUCAAGGAAGGUCCUAUGUUUUCUUUCUAUAACACCAUUUUGUUGAGGAGUGUGGGGACAGAUAGUUUGAUGAAUAAUGCCCUGCUGGUUGAAGAAAGAAAUACCAGUAAGACUAGAGCCCAAUUCCAAAGCAUUAUCACUUCUGAUAGUUUGUACAGUAGCAUUAAAUUGAGUCUUGACCAUACACAAAAAGGACUUAAGAAGGCUAAAAGCAUUACUUUUAGACCCCCAGUAAAUGUGUCCAGGUUGCUCUAGAAAAAUCAUCAACUAUGGUAAGAAAAUAUCUUGUGCCAGAAGAGGUGGGUGUGUGAUAAGGACCCCAAAUAUCUACAUGAAUCAGUUGAAAAGGUCUACAGGUACUGAUUGAACUGUCAGGAAAAGGAAGUCUAGUUUGCCUAGCCAUGAGACAAACAGAACAGGGAAAUGGUUGUUUGGAAGCAAAAGAAAAAGACAAAGCAAAAAUGUGUUUCAUGCUUGCAAAUGAAAUGUGAGCCAGUCUUAAAUGCCAAAUGUAAUUCAUGUCAUUUGCAUCAGUUUUAUUAUUACAAAUGGAACUAUUUACAUUGGAAUUCAAAACAACAGAUUUANNNNNNNNNNNNNNNNNNNNNNNNNNNNNNNNNNNNNNNNNNNNNNNNNACAGAUUAUUACAAAUGGAACUAUUUACAUUGGAAUUCAAAGCAACAGAAUUAAGGUAAGAAGAACAAACAGGGGUACAAGAAUCAGAAAUGGAGCAUACAGAAGUAGAGGAACAACAAUUAAUAGAAGAAGGUGAAUAGGGCACCCAAGCAAAUUUGUACAGACCAACCUCCUCUUUACCAAGAUCCAGAGGCAUCUUCAGAGAAGGGGCCUGUAACAUGUGAAGGAAACAGGAAGUUGCAGUAAACAUGACAAUUCAGUGCAACUGUUUUACUAGUUUGUGGACAGAAAUUAAAUUUUGUUUGAAAUAGGGAACAAACAGUACAUUAUGAAGAGUGAUGGAGGGAGUUAAAGCAAAAGAUCCAGUUGAAGUCACUUUUACUUUAUACCCAUUAUGAAGAGUUACAAGAUAAGGCACAAGUAAAGGUGUGAUAUUAAAAAGUAAGUUCUUAUUAGAUGUCAUAUGAUCAGAAGCCCCUAAAUCUAUUAUCCAGGAGACAGAAGCAGUAUGAGUAAGUAGACAGAGUUUAGAAUCAGAAACAGGACUCUCAGUAAGCAUAGUACCAGCAAAGUUGGCAGCACACAUAGGAUGACAGGUCUGAGCAGGAGAAGUCUGAGCAGUGGAGUCACCCAAUUUGGACUGUUGCAGCAGAUUCAUCAAUUGAUCAUAAUGUUGCCUGCUCAAUCCAGGGAUUACAGAACUAUGUCCAUCCAUAUGUUGGACAGAUGAAUGACCCUCAAUGUGAUUUCGAGAAGCAUGAGAAUUGUGGUCAUCAGAAGAAGGGAAGGAGGUGAAAUCAACACCAGUGGUUACAUGGGCAGCAGUAGUUCUCUUCCCUUUGUUAAACCUGAUGCUUUGAGGAAAUCCAUGAAGUUUGUAACACUUAUCAAUUAAGUGCCCAGACUUCUUGCAAUAUCUACAUGCUUUGAGGAAAUCCAUGAAGUUUGUAACACUUAUCAAUUAACUGCCCAGACUUCUUGCAAUAUCUACAGAAGAGAGGUCCUCUGGAUUGAUCAAAAGUAACUCUCUGGCAUACUGUCUGAGAGGAGAAGAGUUGGACAUUGCAACUUGACUGAAAGAAGGUGUAGAAGUUUUGUGUGUGUGUUGACACUGAAGGACAUAGAGUCAGGAUUGAACUGGGAAAUAGACUGAACAUGUCUUUGUUUUUCAUCAUUGAGAAGAAUGUUGUAGACACUGUCAAGACUAGGAGGAGGCUGAAUCAUCAACAAGUUGCUCCUCACCCCCAUAUAUGUCUCAUUAAGGCCCAUGAGGAAUUGAAACACCUUAUUCUCCUCAUCCUUCUUUAUGAUGCCAGGUUUGGCAGCACAAAUACAUCUUUGGCCAUGAUUUGUGCAUACUACUCUUAAUUCAUCCCAUAACCCUUUGAGUUUGUUAAAAUAGGAUGCUAUAUCUAUAGGUCAUUGAGAAGAAUGAGAGAGUUCUCUUUUAAGUUCAAAAAUUUUGGUCCUAUUGGCUGUGCCAUAUCUGGCUUCGAGUUGUGCCCGUAUACUCUGUGCAGUCUCAGAAUAUUGCACACUCUCAGCUAUUUGAGGAGACAGAGAUGCAGUCGUCCAGGAAAUUACCAUAUUAUUGCAUCUGUCCCUUAAUUGCUGUUCAGCCAAGUUAGUAUUUGGUCUAGGACAGGUACCAUCAACAAAAUCAAUUUUGUUCUUAGCGGACAAGGCAAUUAUCAUCUUCCUCUUCCAACCCCCAUAACCACUACCGGGGAAGGGAAUAGGAACAAGGGAAACACCAGGAACAUCAGAAGAGUAAACAAAUAGAAGACUUGUAGGAUCAGUAGGUGAGGGAUUAGUAGGGUUCAUAUUUGUCAUCAGAAACAAAACAACAAUGAUGAGAGGAAAUUGAUUCAAUAUCUAUGAACUACAUAAUACAACAAAUAUUCCAGCAACAAAAACACAUGCAAGCUCUAAGCAAGAGUGAAAAUAGGAUUACCCGACUUCUACGCUACAGGAGAAGAAACGGCCUUCAAAGGUUCAGAG
Molecule: long non-coding RNA, 2765 nt
Filed under: Nicotiana benthamiana
Lineage: Eukaryota; Viridiplantae; Streptophyta; Magnoliopsida; Solanales; Solanaceae
Description: long non-coding RNA (NBEN_LNC014558)
Source: RNAcentral